UACGGAGGGAGCUAGCGUUGUUCGGAUAUACUGGGCGUAAAGCGCACGUAGGCGGCGCAGCAAGUCAGGGGUGAAAUCCCGGAGCUCAACUCCGGAACUGCCUUUGAAACUGCAGUGCUAGAAUCCUGGAGAGGCGAGUGGAAUUCCGAGUGUAGAGGUGAAAUUCGUAGAUAUUCGGAAGAACACCAGUGGCGAAGGCGGCUCACUGGCCCGAUACUGACGCUGAGGCACGAAAGCGUGGGGAGCAAACAGG
RNAcentral lists this ribosomal RNA (253 nucleotides) under uncultured bacterium. Its description in RNAcentral is "partial 16S ribosomal RNA". It matches the Rfam family "Bacterial small subunit ribosomal RNA", at positions 524 to 776 of the family's 1533-position model. The record is from RNAcentral.